UUCGCUGGUCCGUGUCCGUCCGGGGUGACUCGGUUCGGACCUCCGGGCCGUCAAGGCGGUUCGGAAUCACGGGGGUAUCAAAGGCGGACAUGCGACGCGCCAGUGUCGAUCACCCGUACCCGAUGCUCUUUACUGAGUGUCGAGGCGGGCCGGCACGUUUACUUUGAAUCAAACUGGGUGCUCAAGGCAGGCUAACAUAUAAUUACCGCCGGAAAGAACUUGCAUGGAAUAAUGGAAUAGGACCUCGGUUCUAUUUUGUUGGUUUCCGGAACCCCGAGGUAAUGAUAAAUGGGGACUGACGGGGGCAUUAGUAUUGCGGCGUUAGAGGUGAAAUUCUUGGAUCGUCGCAAGACUACCUAAAGCGAAAGCAUUUGCCAAGGAUGUUUUCAUUAAUCAAGAACGAAAGUUAGAGGUUCGAAGGCGAUCAGAU
RNAcentral lists this ribosomal RNA (430 nucleotides) under Liposcelis pearmani. RNAcentral's name for it is "bacterial SSU rRNA". It matches the Rfam family "Eukaryotic small subunit ribosomal RNA", at positions 703 to 1013 of the family's 1831-position model. The record is from RNAcentral. Lineage: Eukaryota; Metazoa; Arthropoda; Insecta; Psocodea; Liposcelididae.